UUUACAAUCGAUGCAGUAAAAAAAUAGAUAUAACUAAAAUAAAUUAUCUUAUCAUUCCAACAAUAAAGCAAAAUAAAAUUUAAUUUAACUACAAUUUAUUCCAAAUAGAAAUAUUUAUUUAAUUGAAACGAAUAAUUUUUUUAAACUAAAAUCAAUUGAAUUUUUCUAAAUUUUUAAUCUAGAGAGAGUUUAAUUAAGUUUGAAAUAUAAUAGAGGGUAUUUAUAAAAUAGAAUUAGUAAUCGAACAUUGAAUAAUUAAGAGUGGUAAAGUUGGAAUAUAAAUAUUAUUAACUUUAAUAUGGAUGGACACUUCAUGGAAGUGUUAUUUUUGAAAGUUUCUUAAAAUUUACGGGUAUACAUGAUAUUUUAAUUUUUAAAGGAAUAUUUAUAAAAUUAGAUGUUUGUAGAAGGGUAUAGAGGAAAAUUUUUCUAUAUAUAAUAUAUAUUUUAGCUAAGAUUACUAUAUUCUUAUAAAUAUAGAUUUUCUUGUAUACAUAAAUUUUUGGCCAUUGGAUUAAAAAAUGUGCAGUUUGGAUGAUAGUGAACCCUAGGAUUGAGUAGGUGGUUGGUUGACUAAUUUGACCUAAGGGGUGAGAAUGAUCAAAAGGAUAAAUCUGAUGGUCGAAAACUUAUAAGUACAAAAAGAUUUAUACUCAUAAGAAUAUAGUAGCUGGACUCUAUAUUUUACGUUAAUUUUAUUGCAUUAUAUUAUAUGUAGAUUAAAUUAUAAGCCAUUUUCU
Molecule: long non-coding RNA, 740 nt
Filed under: Ananas comosus (pineapple)
Lineage: Eukaryota; Viridiplantae; Streptophyta; Magnoliopsida; Poales; Bromeliaceae
Description: long non-coding RNA (ACOM_LNC036089)
Source: RNAcentral